This 737-nucleotide ribosomal RNA is filed under the name uncultured marine bacterium. RNAcentral's name for it is "bacterial SSU rRNA". It matches the Rfam family "Bacterial small subunit ribosomal RNA", at positions 36 to 819 of the family's 1533-position model. The record is from RNAcentral.
CUGGCGGCAGGCCUAACACAUGCAAGUCGAGCGCACCCUUCGGGGCGAGCGGCGGACGGGUUAGUAACGCGUGGGAACGUGCCCUUCUCUACGGAAUAGCCUUUGGAAACGAAGAGUAAUACCGUAUACGCCCUUCGGGGGAAAGAUUUAUCGGAGAAGGAUCGGCCCGCGUUAGAUUAGAUAGUUGGUGGGGUAACGGCCUACCAAGUCUACGAUCUAUAGCUGGUUUUAGAGGAUGAUCAGCAACACUGGGACUGAGACACGGCCCAGACUCCUACGGGAGGCAGCAGUGGGGAAUCUUAGACAAUGGGCGCAAGCCUGAUCUAGCCAUGCCGCGUGAGUGACGAAGGCCUUAGGGUCGUAAAGCUCUUUCGCCAGGGAUGAUAAUGACAGUACCUGGUAAAGAAACCCCGGCUAACUCCGUGCCAGCAGCCGCGGUAAUACGGAGGGGGUUAGCGUUGUUCGGAAUUACUGGGCGUAAAGCGUACGUAGGCGGAUUGGAAAGUAUGGGGUGAAAUCCCAGGGCUCAACCCUGGAACUGCCCUGUAAACUAUCAGUCUAGAGUUCGAGAGAGGUGAGUGGAAUUCCAAGUGUAGAGGUGAAAUUCGUAGAUAUUUGGAGGAACACCAGUGGCGAAGGCGGCUCACUGGCUCGAUACUGACGCUGAGGUACGAAAGUGUGGGGAGCAAACAGGAUUAGAUACCCUGGUAGUCCACACCGUAAACGAUGAAUGCCAG